Molecule: ribosomal RNA, 698 nt
Filed under: uncultured Gammaproteobacteria bacterium
Lineage: Bacteria; Pseudomonadati; Pseudomonadota; Gammaproteobacteria
Description: bacterial SSU rRNA
Rfam family: Bacterial small subunit ribosomal RNA
Source: RNAcentral
AGUCGAGCGGUAACAGGAGUAGCUUGCUACUCGCUGACGAGCGGCGGACGGGUGAGUAACGCGUAGGAAUCUGCCUAAUAGUUGGGGAUAGCCCGGGGAAACCCGGAUUAAUACCGAAUACGCUCUACGGAGGAAAGCAGGGGAUCUUCGGACCUUGCGCUAUUAGAUGAGCCUGCGUGAGAUUAGCUAGUUGGUGAGGUAAUGGCUCACCAAGGCGACGAUCUCUAGCUGGUCUGAGAGGAUGAUCAGCCACACUGGGACUGAGACACGGCCCAGACUCCUACGGGAGGCAGCAGUGGGGAAUAUUGCACAAUGGGCGCAAGCCUGAUGCAGCCAUACCGCGUGUGUGAAGAAGGCCUUAGGGUUGUAAAGCACUUUCAGUAGUGAGGAAAGGGGUGUAGUUAAUACCUGCAUCCUGUGACGUUAGCUACAGAAGAAGCACCGGCUAAUUCCGUGCCAGCAGCCGCGGUAAUACGGAAGGUGCGAGCGUUAAUCGGAAUUACUGGGCGUAAAGCGCGCGUAGGUGGUUCAGUCAGUCAGAUGUGAAAGCCCCGGGCUCAACCUGGGAACUGCACCUGAUACUGCUGGACUUGAGUACGGUAGAGGGUAGUGGAAUUUCCUGUGUAGCGGUGAAAUGCGUAGAUAUAGGAAGGAACACCAGUGGCGAAGGCGACUACCUGGACCGAUACUGACACUGA